GACGAACGCUGGCGGCGUGCUUAACACAUGCAAGUCGAACGGAAAGGCCCUGCUUUUGGUGGGUGCUCGAGUGGCGAACGGGUGAGUAACACGUGAGUAACCUGCCCUUGACUUUGGGAUAACUUCAGGAAACUGGGGCUCAUACCGGAUAGGAGCUCCUGCUGCAUGGUGGGGGUUGGAAAGUUUCGGCGGUUGGGGAUGGACUCGCGGCUUAUCAGCUUGUUGGUGGGGUAGUGGCUUACCAAGGCUUUGACGGGUAGCCGGCCUGAGAGGGUGACCGGCCACAUUGGGACUGAGAUACGGCCCAGACUCCUACGGGAGGCAGAAGUGGGGAAUAUUGCACAAUGGGCGGAAGCCUGAUGCAGCAACGCCGCGUGCGGGAUGACGGCCUUCGGGUUGUAAACCGCUUUCGCCUGUGACGAAGCGUGAGUGACGGUAAUGGGUAAAGAAGCACCGGCUAACUACGUG
This 468-nucleotide ribosomal RNA is filed under the name uncultured bacterium. Its description in RNAcentral is "partial 16S ribosomal RNA". It matches the Rfam family "Bacterial small subunit ribosomal RNA", at positions 28 to 507 of the family's 1533-position model. The record is from RNAcentral.